RNAcentral lists this ribosomal RNA (359 nucleotides) under uncultured bacterium. Its description in RNAcentral is "bacterial SSU rRNA". It matches the Rfam family "Bacterial small subunit ribosomal RNA", at positions 8 to 353 of the family's 1533-position model. The record is from RNAcentral.
AGAGUUUGAUCCUGGCUCAGGAUGAACGCUAGCUACAGGCUUAACACAUGCAAGUCGAGGGGAAACGACAUCGAAAGCUUGCUUUUGAUGGUCGUCGACCGGCGCACGGGUGAGUAACGCGUAUCCAACCUGCCCAUCACGUUGGGAUAACCUUGACGAAAGUAAGACUAACUACCCAAUGAUAUCUCUAGAAGACAUCUAGAAAGAGAAUUAAAGAUUAUCGGUGAUGGAUGGGGAUGCGUCUGAUUAGCUUGUUGGCGGGGUAACGGCCCACCAAGGCAACGAUCAGUAGGGGUUCUGAGAGGAAGGUCCCCCACAUUGGAACUGAGACACGGUCCAAACUCCUACGGGAGGCAGCA